RNAcentral lists this transfer RNA (67 nucleotides) under Podagrion sp. JY-2018. Its description in RNAcentral is "tRNA-Leu". The record is from RNAcentral. Lineage: Eukaryota; Metazoa; Arthropoda; Insecta; Hymenoptera; Torymidae.
AUUACUUUGGCAGAUUAGUGCUUUAAAUUUAGAAUUUAAAUAUAAUAUUUGAAAUUAUUAAGUAAUA